UGUGGCUCAGUGGUAGAGCUCUUGCCUUGCAUGCAUGGGCCCCUGGGUUCGAUUCCUCAGCA
This 62-nucleotide transfer RNA is filed under the name Dipodomys ordii (Ord's kangaroo rat). It matches the Rfam family "tRNA", at positions 6 to 65 of the family's 71-position model. Rfam says of the family: Transfer RNA (tRNA) molecules are approximately 80 nucleotides in length. Their secondary structure includes four short double-helical elements and three loops (D, anti-codon, and T loops). Further hydrogen bonds mediate the characteristic L-shaped molecular structure. tRNAs have two regions of fundamental functional importance: the anti-codon, which is responsible for specific mRNA codon recognition, and the 3' end, to which the tRNAs corresponding amino acid is attached (by aminoacyl-tRNA synthetases). tRNAs cope with the degeneracy of the genetic code in two manners: having more than one tRNA (with a specific anti-codon) for a particular amino acid; and 'wobble' base-pairing, i.e. permitting non-standard base-pairing at the 3rd anti-codon position. Lineage: Eukaryota; Metazoa; Chordata; Mammalia; Rodentia; Heteromyidae. The record is from Rfam by way of RNAcentral.